AUCAUCAUCGUCUAGUGGUUUAGGAUACCAGGUUUUUAUCAUCAAAUGAAAGCCUGGGGACCAGAGUUUGAACCUCUACGAUGGUC
This is a non-coding RNA of Whalleya microplaca, 86 nucleotides long. NCBI's taxonomy places the organism in Eukaryota, Fungi, Ascomycota, Sordariomycetes, Xylariales, Xylariaceae. The record is from the annotation of a GenBank genome assembly.